Bradysia coprophila is the source of this 494-nucleotide long non-coding RNA. RefSeq lists it as uncharacterized. Lineage: Eukaryota; Metazoa; Arthropoda; Insecta; Diptera; Sciaridae. The record is from RefSeq and is a predicted model, not a curated record.
AAAAAGCCUAAAAUAGUUCAUUUUCCAGUUACAAGAGAAUUAUCGCUAAUAUAAUAAGUUGGUGGAAAGGAAUACGAUUUUUUUUAAAUCAAAAUGAAGACUAUUGCGCUCGGACUUAUUCUACUGUCGUUAGCAGUUAUGCGCACAUCUGGGAGUCUAUUAUGCACUGAAGUAUUAGGCGUACCACUAGGUUGUUUCCUAGCUUGCACUUCAUUCCCGUAUGAAUGCGAUGGUGAUGGCAGAUGUAUUUGCACUGCUCAGAGCGAGUUGAAUGUCAAUAUCGAAUGCAAUGCCAAUGAUACCCUUACAUCUACAGCGUGUAGUGGGAUAUGCGUGGAUCUGGAUUUACUCAAUCUUGGUUCUAUUUCGUCUUCAAACUGCGAUGAUGGCAUAUGCCAUUGUGUCUAUGAUCUUUAAAAGAACAUUUUGUAGUAGAAAAUUUGUACCCGUUCGGUAUUUUUGUGUCGGUUGUGUCGACUGAAAAAUAAAUAUGG